UUUUAUUUUGCGAACAUUUAAAUCCCUAAAAAUUUAAAAAUACAAUUAGGUCCCUAAAAAAACCCCUGCCCAAUCCCAAACCGAAGCCCAACCUCUCACUAAUCUCUCAAGCUUACCCGAAAAAGAAAAAAACCUAGCCCUAGCGUCUCUUCCUCUCACUAGCCUCUCCCUUGCUCACUAAAGCUCGAGAAAUCUCAAGCUCUCUUCCUCUCUCGUCUCUGGUCUCGCACCCAAGGUUCUCGUCACUUCCGUGUCGUCAGUAGUCACCGUCUCGCACUCAGUCGCGCUCGCACGCCUUCUCUGAGCUGGUCGUCGCCGGCGGCAAAAGUAGCUAGUCAUGAAGCUGAUUGUUGGAACCAAAUAGAGAUGAGCAUGUCUCCCUUGACAAUUUCAAAAUGGAGCUACCUUCAGAGGAGCAGAUAAGAUUGAUCAAGAAAGCAACAUUGUUGCUGGAACCACAGCUGGUAUUGCAAGUACCUCCAAAGAGUGGGAAUUUGGCUGCAAAGCCUGAAUCCAAGCCUAUCGAUAGACAGUGGUUCUUUUGUAGCUGCCAAUGCAUAUAAAGAUCGGUUGGCUCUAUUUUCUGUGUCGGGGAUUGGCAAUGAUAUUGUUGAUGAGGUCUGGAAAUGAUUUUCUAUUCAUUGAAGGUGAUGCUCUUUUGACGGGUAUGUUCUCUGCUUAUUUGCAGACAGGUAUGUUCUCUGCUCGGACCUAUUUUGUGUUCUUGGCUUCUUCGGUUAUUGGAAAGGAUGGAUGCAUGUAGGUUUCAAUUUGGAUGCCUUACAUAUUUUAGUACAUUGAUUGUAGUACAUAUCAUAGCGUGGAGUGUGGGCAUUGAAUAGGCUCACCUUAGCUUGUACUGAACUUUAUAUAGAACUGGGUAGCUAGAAUAAAAUUUCACGUCACUCGGUCAUAGAUGCUUUGAGGCCUGUCAUGAAUUAUAAUAUUAAAAGGUUAACAACAGGAAAAUGGAAAUUAAAGCUAUUGGUUAUUCUCAUGAUGAAACUGAAAUCUGAUUAGCUCAAAAAUGUAGUCUAGAUGUAUAAGACAUUAAGAGAUGCAUCUCAAAUUGGAUUUAGCUUAACAUAAUGCAUAUGCGUAUUACUUCAAAUAUUCCAUAAUUCAGUGAAUAUCUUCAUGCACAGUCUAAUUUUUAACUGCGGCUGUGAUCAUAUUCCAUUUGUCCAGGUCCUCUUUCUCAUGUAUCAUUAUUUUGCCGCGACAGAGAUAUACAAUGCAAUAUGUGUUUGUAUUGCUGCAUAUGUUUGGAUGACUGGAUUUGGAAACUUCUCAUAUUAUUAUGCUAGAAAAGAUUUCAGCCUUGCUCGCUUUGCUCGGGUGAUAUAUAUGUGGUGUCUAUUCUGUAUCCUUAACUUGCUACUCUUUGUUCAUAAAACAAGUUUUGAACUCAUUAGACUUCAAACAGAUGAUGUGGCGGCUUAAUUUUUUGUGGCCUUCUGUUUUAUUGUGCUUAACAAUGACUACAUAUAUGUCCAAUGCACACACUUUUCACUUUGAUGGUGUAUGGAGCAUUGGGUAUAUAUAGCAAGUAUAACAAAAACAGCUUAGUGGUGGAUGCAAAAAUUCUUGCAUUCUUUCUUGCGGUGAUCUUGCAUUCUUACAUGUAGCGUAUUUGCAUGUUUCAAGAUGAUUUGUUAAUCCAAGAAUAUAAGCUUGCAUGUUUCAAGCUGACUUGUUAAUCUAAGAAUAUAAGUUUGCAUGUUUAUAUCUUAGUAGUAUCUAAGAAUAUGACUUGAGCAAUACACACCGGAUGCCUCUGUAACUUCUAAGGGAGAAUCGAACAUGAACUUCUCUGCCUUGGACGAGAAAGUAAUCUAUUUUUUGGCUAUAAUACCCGAAGAUGCCUUACUUUAUUGGAAUGCCUUUUUAACAUGUCUUUAGUUAUCUUUUGUGAUGUUUAUAUUUUCUGUGAUGUUACCUUAUUAUUUAGUAACGCGUCUUAUUUUAUGGCAUCUUGAAGCUUGAAAAGGGUGUUGUCGAGGCACUAUAGACGAUGAUUCGCGAAGCUGUUGUGCAAGGGAUAACAACAGUUCUCCCAGAGUUUGUGAAAACGGUUGGUUCCUCAUCAAAAAGUGAGUGAUGGUGUAAAGUUUUUGAAUACUGCUCCAGUUGUUACACCACCGUCGGAUACUUUGAAACGCAUACUUGACGCCAACCCCUCAAUGAGUGACGAACCAGUCACGAAGAAGAGGACUCCGAGGUGCAAGGGAAGAAAGCGUGGACUACCGGUCUCCGAAGUUAAGGUUUUAUGUUUUUAUUUUUAAAUAACAACUAUUAAAUACUACUAAGAUAGCAUUUGAUCAAAUUAAUACACAAUAUAUGAUGUUAUAGUUCACAAAGCACAGCAUUCUUCAGCCAUUGGAUUUGCCACUGUCCCGAUUUAGGGGUGAAGAACUUUUUAGUAUUCUCACAUAUUGUAAUAUUAAUGUUAAGUCAUAAAAUAAAAUAUGUUCCUCAACUUCUCCUCUCUUUCCUACUAGAUAUGAGGUCUGAGCUUCACUAUUGAAAGCUUUAGGCUUGUGAGUACCAAAUUUUUUUGUCAGCAUAUUGUACCUGUUAGUGACAUUGGAAGGCUGAUUAGAAUCCUGAUUAAUACUAGGGAGUUAAAUUUCAAUUGCUAAUAUGGGAAUUUGAUUUAUUGAUGUGGUGGAAAGCUUAUCGGUUGAGAGAAUUGUAUUGACAAAUAAGUAACAUCAAUGCUUAAAAUAAUUAUCGUAUUUUUUGGAUUUGCAGAAAGAAUUGCAUUUUGGGGAGAAGCUUUCUUCGGGUCGUCCAUGGCUUUACUACAAUAAUUACAAUCCAAAUAUGGACGGAGAUGACAUGCCACAUAACUGGUCAUUGCUGCUUACAUCUUUGGAAACAAUUUGGAUCUAGAAGGAUCCGAUUAGCUUGAGAAAUUAGCGGAGUUUUGUUAGCUUGAGACAUGGUGAAGGUAGUGUAUAUGUGAGAUUGGAACUCAUUUGAAGAGAUUGGAAGCUUGUUUGAGCCUUGGGUGCUAAAGUUUCGAUAUUGGAGGCUUGUGACCUCGUCAAUUUGGGUGUUUUUGGCUUUGGAGAGUUAUCCCGAUUUUGUCCAUCAAAGAUGAUCUAUUCGAGAGAUUCAAGAAGCUGAGUAUUAUGGACCUUGCAGAGCUGGAGUUGACUUCUGACAAACUGCAUAGAAUGUUGUUGGCUUUCAGCGAGAGGGCAAAGGGUCAGAAGUUUUCAAAGAAUGCUUCAGAUCAGGAAAUGCUCGAGAUAGUCAUGUCUAGGUAUGAAAAGGAAAUCAGGCACCCUAUUCAAAACUUUAUAGGUGGAAAGUUGGCAGAGGCUCUGCUUAUUCAGGGCAAUGCUGGAGCUGGACCAAUGAAUUUUGAUAGUAAAAUGUGUAAGACCUAUAAUUUUUAGAAAAAUUUUAUUAUGAACUA
Molecule: non-coding RNA, 3427 nt
Organism: Arachis ipaensis
Lineage: Eukaryota; Viridiplantae; Streptophyta; Magnoliopsida; Fabales; Fabaceae
Source: RefSeq, a predicted model, not a curated record